This is a non-coding RNA of Monodelphis domestica (gray short-tailed opossum), 4860 nucleotides long. The record is from RefSeq and is a predicted model, not a curated record. Lineage: Eukaryota; Metazoa; Chordata; Mammalia; Didelphimorphia; Didelphidae.
UAAAUGACAUUCUGGGAGAGAGAGUCCUCGGGAGCCAAAUUCUAAUUACACAAAUGAAAAUAGAGAAAAGAUGAUAAAUCAGCUACAUAUUUUGCCUCUCAGCCUGUGUGCUUCCCCGUUUAUCUCUGAUCGCACCACUUCUACUGUGGUGAGAUCCAGGGAAGGCUUCCCUCACACUCUGAACGUCUAUGUGGGCUUAUCUUCCUCCUGGAUGGGUCCAGCUGCUCUCACCUGAGCCGAAGAAGACUCGACAAGGAAAGGUCCUGCUUCACGCCCACUGCCCACAUCAAGGAGAAUGAGCUACGCUGCCUUAGACUUGGAGCAGACGAUGGCCACUGUGGCUCUCGCUCCUCUCUAUGAACUGUCUGGUGCUUGGGUCGUCGCUGUUGUCAUGCAGAGAUUCAGAUGCCUAGUGUCUCUCUUGCAGUUAUCUUUUUUAAGUGUACAGAAUCUUUGAGUAAACAAUGAUAUUCAGCUCAAUCACAAAGUAAAACCAACUGGAGAGCGUUUGUGUGCAAUGCCGUAUUGUCCGACGGCCCUGUGAUGUGUCUGGGCGUGGCUGACGAGAUGUAGUACAGUGUCAGAAGCCGAGGAGGAAAAGGGUAAGUAGAAGGAAAGCGUGCUUUACCGGGUGGUAGAUGGGGCAGAAGCCGGAGAGGUGGACGGGGAAGAAAAGGCCAUUGGAUUUGGAACUCUGAUAGCUUUGGAAACAGCUUUGUCAGUGGAGUGAUAUGAUGGGAAGUCAGAUGGCACGGAGGCAAGGAACCUCACUCUCUAACCAUGGAGCCACCUAGCUGCCCACCCCAUGAGCUUUUCAGAAAGGAUACUAAAAUGGUUUCUUAUUUCCUUCUCUAGUGGAUAAAGGCAAGCAGAAGCUCCCUGAGAUGGUCAGCAAUUUGCUAUAGUUUAUAUAUGUGCUGUCAUGGAUCCAUAUUUAUCAUGCUGUAGAAGAAGACAUAUCACUGAAAGAACAAAGGAAGUAAUAUUGAAGAAAAUAAAGUAAAAAACGGUAUGCUUCAGUGUGCAUUGAGAUGCCAUCAGUUCUCUCUCUGGGGGUGAAAAGAAUUUUUUCAUCAUGAGCCCUUUGGAGUUGCCUCGGAUCAUUGCAUUGCUGACUCCAUAGCUAAGUCAUUCACAGUUGAUCAUCACAAAAUAUUGCUGUUACUGUGUAUAAUGUUCUGGCUCUGCUCACUUCACUUUGCAUCAGUUCGUACAGAUCUUCCUAGGUUUUUCUGAAACCAUCUCCUCCAUCAUUUCUUACAGCACAAUCAUAUGCCACGACUUUUAACCCUUUCCCCCCUGACAGGCUCAAUUUCCACCACAAGAGCUGCCAUAAAUAUUUGUAUGCAUGUGAAAUCCUUUCUUUCUUGGAUCUUGUUGAGUUAUUGUAGAGAUCUGUCAGGUCAAAGGAUGUGCACAGUUUAAUAGCUUUUAGGUAGAGUUCCAAAUUGCUUUCCAGAAUGAUUGGACUAAUUCAAAGGUCCACUAACAGUGUAUUAGUGAGCCUAUUUUCCCAUUUACCUCCAUCAUUUGUCAUUUUCUUUCUUUUUUCUUUUUUUUUGUUUUGCCAUCUUGUCCAACCUAAUAGGUAUGAAAUGGAAAUUCAGAGUGUUUAAAUUUGCAUUUUCCUAAUUAUUAGUGAUUUAGAACAUCUUUUAUAUGAUUAUUGAGAGCUUGGAUUUUUUCCUCCUCAAAAUGCCUAUUCAUAUCCUUUAACCAUUUGCCAAUUUGAGAUAAUAAUAUUUUCAAAUGCACAAAAUAAAUGUUGAUGAUGUCUCACAUUCUGGAAUCCGUGUUCCCGCCAAAGGCUUUAUUCCUUGGUCUAGCAGGCAUUCAUUCCUUCACUUAUAUCGAUGAUUAUGUAGGCUGUCCAUCCUAAUGCAUGUUGACUUCUGCGCAAUAGACAUUCUUUGUCCAGUUGGUCUUUCUUGUGUAGUUGGACAAGCCAAACCCUUUGACUGAUUUUAAACUCUUCCCAGAGGCUCCGAAAUGUCAUUGGGCUUGACCUUUCCGCAUGAUAUCAUCAGCACAUGGAUUAUUUGGAGGUCCUUUACUACCCCAUGGGAAUCUUUUAGACUCUGACCUGGGGCCCUUGUAUCCCAACAGCUAACACUGGACAAAGGUUCCUCUUCUUGUUUUAUGCCUCAUCCAAUGUUUAUGAUCAGAAGGUCAUUGAAGAGGAUUAUUUCUUUUGCUUUUUUUUUUCAACCCUUACCUUCUGUCUUAGAAUCAAUACUAUGUGUGGUUUCCAAGGCAGAAGAGUGGUGGUAAGGGCUAGGCAAUGGGAGUUAAGUGACUUGCCCAGGGUCACACAGCUAGGAAAUGUCUGAGGUCAAAUUUGAACCCAGAAUCUCCUCUUUCCAGGUCUGAUUCUCAAUCCACUGUGCCACUUAGCUGCCCCUCUUUUGUUUGAUCCUUAAGGAAUUUCAAGUGAUUUUUAUGUAUAUAUGGGAGAUACCCCAUUGUUCUAUUAUAUUAAAUUUUGCUUUCUAAUCAACAACAACAAAAAACAACUAUAAUGGCAAAGAUUAGAUUUAUGGCCAAAUGUCUCUUAGGAAAGUCUUCUUGUUUCAUAAUAAUACAGUUGUCAAUGAUGCCCUUGCUUCUAGUAUAUUUUUUUAAAUAUGUUUUAUUUUCUCAAUUAUAUGGAGUAAGUUUUCUUCAUAGGUUUUUUUAAAUUAUAAGAUACAAUUAUAUUGUCUCAUUUUUUUCUCUCUCCACACUCCUGGAGAUGGUAAGCAAUUUAACCUGGGUUAUACAUGUAUUAUCAUACAAAAUAUACUUCUAUAUUCUUCCUUGUCAAAAGAGAAUACUCCUAUAAAAUCAAAGCCCCAAAUAAAAAAUGAAACUACACUAAAAUGAAAAAUGGUAUACUUGAUCUGCCCUCUGACUCCAACAGUUGUUUCUCUGGGAGUGGAGAGCAUUCUUUGUCCUAAGCCCUUCAGAAUUGUUCUGGAUCAUUGUAUUGUGGAAAGUAGACCGUUCCAGAUCCUGGUACAGAUGCUUUGCACCUCUUCAGGAGAUCCUGGGUAGCAAAUUCAAUGGAGGCGAUUUAUUGAGUGAAGAGUUCUUGGAAAAGCCACCUAUAAAGAGGGAUAGAUGAUAGAUGGGCAACUCUAUUGAUGAUAUUAGAUACUAUAGAUUAACUAAGAGGCUAAAACUUCAGUGGAGUGAGGGAAUAGUGCUGUUUGGACAGAGAGAGAAAAAAAUAAUUAUGGGAUACUUGGUUCUAGGGUUUUCUAGAUCUGUUUCCAGGCUUUGAAUGAAUGAAUGAAUGAAUAAAUAGUAGAUCCUUGAAGCCAAUGACUAUAUUUUAUUCUUAUACCUUGAAGCAUAUAGCAGCACAGGGUAAUGCACAUUGUAAGAGCCCAAUAAAUUUUUAAAAUUUUAUUCUGCUUCAGACAAGCCUCUUGUCCUCUCUGUAGCCCAAUUUUCUCAUCUGUAAAAUGGAAAUAAUAAUAGAUGUAUCACCUAGUUUACAGGCUUCAUGAAAGGAUGAAAUGAGUUAUUAAAUUCAUUUUAAAAAACCAAGAUACAACAUACAUAUACAUAAAAUAUUUUCAAUAAAACAGAACAAUGAUGUGACAGCUACAAUUUGGAAUAGGAGGUAACCCCCACCAAUAUCCAAAAAGGAAAAAAGAAAAACAAUAGUACCUACUGAUAUUUGGAAAUAAUUGAAACCUAUUGUUGGAAACUAGGUAGUUUAGGAAAUAUGGUAACGGGAUAGGGAGCCUUUCAUCUUGAGGUCACUGGUUCAUAUCCUCCAGGUUUGUAGAAAUUGAGAAGUUUGCCAGUAGAAAACUGCUCUGCAUAGGGAAAGAAAUGAAAUGGAGAGGGAACUUAGGGUAGAAAUGAAUAAUAGAAUUAGUAAAACUGCAUCAAUUAUCAAGCUGACUUAGGGCAGGAACUAGUGUCAUAAGAGAAGCCGUAGAUUGGAGACAGGGUGCCUUGGAAUGAGGGAGGAUAGCCAGGAAUGUUGACAGAGACUUAAUUCCUUGGUAUAAAUGGCUUCAUUCCUCCUUUUGACAACUUUUUAAAAGCCUUACCUUCUGUCUUAGAAUCAGCCACUAAGUAUUGAUUCCAAGACAAAAGAGUGUGAAAUGUUAAGCAGUUGGGGCUAAGUGGCUCACCCAGGGUCACACAGCUAAAAAGAGUCUGAGGUCAUGGUGGAACCCAGGAUCUCCCAUCUGCAGAUGUGGCUCUGUCCCCUGAAUCGCCCCACAUCUGACAAUUUAUUAAAGGUCUUUCCUGUGCAAGGUGCUGUGUUAGGAAUCAUUCAAGAUACAAAAUAUGUAAAUCAUGUCCCUACUCCUUAGGAGUCAUUCUGGGGAUGUUGGGGGCAGAGGAGAGGCAGAAUGGGGCAGUGAAGAGUCCAGUGUCGCCCUGUUGAGGAAUAGCUCAGACAGUCACUAUGUCUGAUUUCCACCAUUGUUAUACUGGGGAAAUUAGACUAAAGUGAACAUCAAACAUUUCCAUGAAAUAAAAAUAUGGCAGCCCAAAGGAGAAGGUGUUGCAUGCUUUUUUUUCUUGGUGGAUGGGUUUGGUGAUGAUAGGCUAUGGCUAGUCGUUAGAGAUCUGAUCUUGUUGGCCCAUACUGGCUCUUACCAACUCCUUCCUGAGAGGCUCUUCUCAACCCAUCCAUAGGGUCCCUAGACGAGGUUUGCUCCUGGAGGAGCUUGGUCUCCAAUAAGAAAGGCGGGCAAUGGUACCUUUAUCAUACUCUUUGACUCAUUACAUACGCACUCCAUGAUUCUGGGGACAAUGUCCUUCGUUUAGGACCAGGACCAUAGGGGGGUCGUCCCAAAAGAGGUGAGUGGAAAACUCAGUUGAUAAUAUGGGGGUGGUAUUUAUUUCCAACAC